AUGUAAUUAAAAAUUAAAAAAAAAAAAGUAUCUAGUUAAAACUCCUGCAAUGGCGUUUCUAACAAGGAACUCUAAAAGACUUUUUAUUUAGUCAGAAAACACUUAUAGGCUACUUUUGAAACGGUGUCUAUGGAGAAACACGUUUUUUGUCGUCGGGUGGUGUAGUUCCAGCAUCUACCAGCAGGGACUAACAGGAACCUGCUAACCAGCCCUGGUUUCUAAAACAGCGGUUGAGAGAGUGGUGGUAGUUUUGAAAAUCUGCCUACCCAUCUCUAUAUAUAUUUCCUUUUUUAGGAUGUCGUAAAAAUUUAAUCGCGAUUUUUUCUUUUGCUGUUGGAGUACAAAAAAUUUGAUGCAGACUCCGUUCACCAUUUUUUUUUUUUUUUUUUUUUUUUAGCCAAGGUUUUUGUGACAACUUCCGCUAGAGAACCCAGAAAUGUGGGAAGGUUCGAUGUCACGGUACUUUCAGUUUUCUGACAAAGUAGUAUUUCAGAAAUAUUAUGUAUAACAUAUAUGAGCUAUAUCGGGGAACCCUGAUCAUCGGGUGCCGCUUCAUCUGUGUGUUUGCAGUGCUGAUAAACAAAGUGUCUCUGCAGGUCACAGUACACAGAGAGGGUGUUAUUGGUGGUUCUGUUGUCCUGCCGUGUUUUUCCUCUGAGCACCAUUAUAAACUUCAAGACAUUGAUGUGAGCUGGAGACACAAUGACAGUGAGAUUGUGUAUGAUAUAGUCAAGGGUGAAGAUUCAUUGGCAGAUCAGGACCCACGGUACAAGAACAGAGCUGAAACAUUCCCAUUAGAGUAUGAGAGAAGAAACUUCUCCAUCAUCCUCAAGAACCUCACCUACACUGAUGCAGGAGAGUUCAACUGCCUCAUCACACCCUCAAAUGAACAGGAGAAAGUAGAACUGAUCAUCAAGGAAGAAAAAGGAAACAAAUCCAAACAAGCAAACCAAGGACCAGAUUGGAUGAAGAUAAUAUCGAUAUUUGUAGGCACUCUUGUAUUACUUGUAUUAAUUAUUGGGUCUAUAAUAGCCUAUUUUUGCUGGAGAAAAAAAACACAAGCUGCCUUAUAGACCAUUUCGGAGUAGACAUCAUAGUUACAAGACUUGUGGCAGAAAAACAGUGGUAAC
Ctenopharyngodon idella (grass carp) is the source of this 1130-nucleotide long non-coding RNA. RefSeq lists it as uncharacterized. The transcript is spliced from 4 exons. The record is from RefSeq and is a predicted model, not a curated record. Lineage: Eukaryota; Metazoa; Chordata; Actinopteri; Cypriniformes; Xenocyprididae.